RNAcentral lists this ribosomal RNA (253 nucleotides) under uncultured bacterium. Its description in RNAcentral is "partial 16S ribosomal RNA". It matches the Rfam family "Bacterial small subunit ribosomal RNA", at positions 524 to 776 of the family's 1533-position model. The record is from RNAcentral.
GACGUAGGGCGCGAGCGUUGUCCGGAUUUAUUGGGCGUAAAGAGCUCGUAGGCGGCUUGUUGCGUCGGCUGUGAAAACCCAUGGCUCAACCGUGGGCUUGCAGCCGAUACGGGCAGACUUGAGUACUGCAGGGGAGACUGGAAUUCCUGGUGUAGCGGUGGAAUGCGCAGAUAUCAGGAGGGACACCGGUGGCGAAGGCGGGUCUCUGGGCAGUAACUGACGCUGAGGAGCGAAAGCGUGGGGAGCGAACAGG